This 216-nucleotide unclassified non-coding RNA is filed under the name Hevea brasiliensis (rubber tree). The record is from RNAcentral. Lineage: Eukaryota; Viridiplantae; Streptophyta; Magnoliopsida; Malpighiales; Euphorbiaceae.
CCAAGCCAACCAGCGACAUGAUAUCCGCCAUCGCGGCUUCGGGCGAUUUCGAAUCCAGAAUGUCGCUGACCUCGACCAGGUGACCUGAGAACGCGAACGACCGGACGUCGGACACGACUUCGUUCAGGCUGUAGAUAAGCAGCAGGAAGAAGUCGGACACCUUGGCGACGGAGCCGCUGACGUCACAGAUGGCUACAAUCUUGGGUUUGUCGCGGG